UAUAACGAGUUAAUGCGUUAAGCGUGUUUUAUGCUGGCUUUCAUUCGCAGGAGUAUUACUACUUUAGAGGGAGGGGGUAUUGCGUCGUAUCAAACCGAGGGUAUAAAAAAAGCGCCAAAAGGCGCUUUUUUGU
Molecule: small RNA, 133 nt
Filed under: Enterobacter cloacae
Lineage: Bacteria; Pseudomonadati; Pseudomonadota; Gammaproteobacteria; Enterobacterales; Enterobacteriaceae
Description: Enterobacteria sRNA STnc130
Rfam family: Enterobacteria sRNA STnc130
Source: RNAcentral